AUCGUGAGGAAACCUGCAUACCAGAGAAUUUUCUUAAUUCUCUGCGUGUGUGAAGUCUGCCAAUCCGCAGGCCAGCGUGGUGGACUAUCUAACCACUCUCAUUCUGAGAGGAGACUCGAGCUCAGCAGCUAAUAUGGGUUGAAUGAAUCCUGUGUACCAACUCCAGAUUCAAACUGAAUACUACAUGGUUUAUAGCCGCACAGAGCCAAAGAGCGAAGUUUUAUUGGGGCAACGUCAAUAAAAUCAACGCUUCUCCAGCAGUACCCCGGUCCCGGCUUUGUUAGUUGCAGUCGCUAGUUGUGAAUCAACGUCCAUUGGGCGCGCAAGCGGUGCCCUAUAUUCGCGCGUUAUAAUUUCUGUGGCCGUCUAAUAAACUAAACACCCAAAUCAACGAACUGAAAAUUUCAAAACCAAAAGUUUUCAAAUCUAUCGACCAGUGUUCCAGUUUUAGUGAGACUAACGAAAAACUUUUUUU
Molecule: long non-coding RNA, 475 nt
Organism: Bicyclus anynana (squinting bush brown)
Lineage: Eukaryota; Metazoa; Arthropoda; Insecta; Lepidoptera; Nymphalidae
Exons: 2
Source: RefSeq, a predicted model, not a curated record